This 254-nucleotide ribosomal RNA is filed under the name uncultured bacterium. Its description in RNAcentral is "partial 16S ribosomal RNA". It matches the Rfam family "Bacterial small subunit ribosomal RNA", at positions 524 to 776 of the family's 1533-position model. The record is from RNAcentral.
UACGAAGGGGGCUAGCGUUGUUCGGAAUUACUGGGCGUAAAGCGCACGUAGGCGGAUACUUAAGUCAGGGGUGAAAUCCCCGGGGCUCAACCCCGGAACUGCCUUUGAUACUGGGUAUCUCGAGUCCGGAAGAGGUGAGUGGAAUUCCGAGUGUAGAGGUGAAAUUCGUAGAUAUUCGGAGGAACACCAGUGGCGAAGGCGGCUCACUGGUCCGGUACUGACGCUGAGGUGCGAAAGCGUGGGGAGCAAACAGG